AGAGUUUGAUCCUGGCUCAGGAUGAACGCUGGCGGCGUGCCUAAUACAUGCAAGUCGAGCGAACGGACGAGAAGCUUGCUUCUCUGAUGUUAGCGGCGGACGGGUGAGUAACACGUGGAUAACCUACCUAUAAGACUGGGAUAACUUCGGGAAACCGGAGCUAAUACCGGAUGAUAUUUUGAACCGCAUGGUUCAAAAGUGAAAGACGGUCUUGCUGUCACUUAUAGAUGGAUCCGCGCUGCAUUAGCUAGUUGGUAAGGUAACGGCUUACCAAGGCAACGAUGCAUAGCCGACCUGAGAGGGUGAUCGGCCACACUGGAACUGAGACACGGUCCAGACUCCUACGGGAGGCAGCAGUAGGGAAUCUUCCGCAAUGGGCGAAAGCCUGACGGAGCAACGCCGCGUGAGUGAUGAAGGUCUUCGGAUCGUAAAACUCUGUUAUUAGGGAAGAACAUAUGUGUAAGUAACUGUGCACAUCUUGACGGUACCUAAUCAGAAAGCCACGGCUAACUACGUGCCAGCAGCCGCGGUAAUACGUAGGUGGCAAGCGUUAUCCGGAAUUAUUGGGCGUAAAGCGCGCGUAGGCGGUUUUUUAAGUCUGAUGUGAAAGCCCACGGCUCAACCGUGGAGGGUCAUUGGAAACUGGAAAACUUGAGUGCAGAAGAGGAAAGUGGAAUUCCAUGUGUAGCGGUGAAAUGCGCAGAGAUAUGGAGGAACACCAGUGGCGAAGGCGACUUUCUGGUCUGUAACUGACGCUGAUGUGCGAAAGCGUGGGGAUCAAACAGGAUUAGAUACCCUGGUAGUCCACGCCGUAAACGAUGAGUGCUAAGUGUUAGGGGGUUUCCGCCCCUUAGUGCUGCAGCUAACGCAUUAAGCACUCCGCCUGGGGAGUACGACCGCAAGGUUGAAACUCAAAGGAAUUGACGGGGACCCGCACAAGCGGUGGAGCAUGUGGUUUAAUUCGAAGCAACGCGAAGAACCUUACCAAAUCUUGACAUCCUUUGACAACUCUAGAGAUAGAGCCUUCCCCUUCGGGGGACAAAGUGACAGGUGGUGCAUGGUUGUCGUCAGCUCGUGUCGUGAGAUGUUGGGUUAAGUCCC
This 1101-nucleotide ribosomal RNA is filed under the name Staphylococcus aureus. Its description in RNAcentral is "16S ribosomal RNA". It matches the Rfam family "Bacterial small subunit ribosomal RNA", at positions 8 to 1088 of the family's 1533-position model. Lineage: Bacteria; Bacillati; Bacillota; Bacilli; Caryophanales; Staphylococcaceae. The record is from RNAcentral.